AGAGUUUGAUCCUGGCUCAGGAUGAACGCUAGCGGGAGGCCUAACACAUGCAAGCCGAGCGGUAGAGAUCUUUCGGGAUCUUGAGAGCGGCGUACGGGUGCGGAACACGUGUGCAACCUGCCUUUAUCAGGGGGAUAGCCUUUCGAAAGGAAGAUUAAUACCCCAUAAUAUAUUAAGUGGCAUCAUUUGAUAUUGAAAACUCCGGUGGAUAGAGAUGGGCACGCGCAAGAUUAGAUAGUUGGUAGGGUAACGGCCUACCAAGUCAGUGAUCUUUAGGGGGCCUGAGAGGGUGAUCCCCCACACUGGUACUGAGACACGGACCAGACUCCUACGGGAGGCAGCAGUGAGGAAUAUUGGACAAUGGGUGAGAGCCUGAUCCAGCCAUCCCGCGUGAAGGACGACGGCCCUAUGGGUUGUAAACUUCUUUUGUAUAGGGAUAAACCUUUCCACGUGUGGAAAGCUGAAGGUACUAUACGAAUAAGCACCGGCUAACUCCGUGCCAGCAGCCGCGGUAAUACGGAGGGUGCAAGCGUUAUCCGGAUUUAUUGGGUUUAAAGGGUCCGUAGGCGGAUCUGUAAGUCAGUGGUGAAAUCUCAUAGCUUAACUAUGAAACUGCCAUUGAUACUGCAGGUCUUGAGUAAAGUAGAAGUGGCUGGAAUAAGUAGUGUAGCGGUGAAAUGCAUAGAUAUUACUUAGAACACCAAUUGCGAAGGCAGGUCACUAUGUUUUAACUGACGCUGAUGGACGAAAGCGUGGGGAGCGAACAGGAUUAGAUACCCUGGUAGUCCACGCCGUAAACGAUGCUAACUCGUUUUUGGGUCUUCGGAUUCAGAGACUAAGCGAAAGUGAUAAGUUAGCCACCUGGGGAGUACGUUCGCAAGAAUGAAACUCAAAGGAAUUGACGGGGGCCCGCACAAGCGGUGGAUUAUGUGGUUUAAUUCGAUGAUACGCGAGGAACCUUACCAAGGCUUAAAUGGAAAUUGACAGGUUUAGAAAUAGACUUUUCUUCGGACAAUUUUCAAGGUGCUGCAUGGUUGUCGUCAGCUCGUGCCGUGAGGUGUUAGGUUAAGUCCUGCAACGAGCGCAACCCCUGUCACUAGUUGCCAUCAUUCAGUUGGGGACUCUAGUGAGACUGCCUACGCAAGUAGAGAGGAAGGUGGGGAUGACGUCAAAUCAUCACGGCCCUUACGCCUUGGGCCACACACGUAAUACAAUGGCCGGUACAGAGGGCAGCUACCUAGCGAUAGGAUGCGAAUCUCGAAAGCCGGUCUCAGUUCGGAUUGGAGUCUGCAACUCGACUCUAUGAAGCUGGAAUCGCUAGUAAUCGCAUAUCAGCCAUGAUGCGGUGAAUACGUUCCCGGGCCU
Molecule: ribosomal RNA, 1365 nt
Filed under: uncultured bacterium
Lineage: Bacteria
Description: 16S ribosomal RNA
Rfam family: Bacterial small subunit ribosomal RNA
Source: RNAcentral